This 2903-nucleotide ribosomal RNA is filed under the name Escherichia coli. RNAcentral describes it as "23S ribosomal RNA". It matches the Rfam family "Bacterial large subunit ribosomal RNA". The record is from RNAcentral. Lineage: Bacteria; Pseudomonadati; Pseudomonadota; Gammaproteobacteria; Enterobacterales; Enterobacteriaceae.
GUUAAGCGACUAAGCGUACACGGUGGAUGCCCUGGCAGUCAGAGGCGAUGAAGGACGUGCUAAUCUGCGAUAAGCGUCGGUAAGGUGAUAUGAACCGUUAUAACCGGCGAUUUCCGAAUGGGGAAACCCAGUGUGUUUCGACACACUAUCAUUAACUGAAUCCAUAGGUUAAUGAGGCGAACCGGGGGAACUGAAACAUCUAAGUACCCCGAGGAAAAGAAAUCAACCGAGAUUCCCCCAGUAGCGGCGAGCGAACGGGGAGGAGCCCAGAGCCUGAAUCAGUGUGUGUGUUAGUGGAAGCGUCUGGAAAGGCGCGCGAUACAGGGUGACAGCCCCGUACACAAAAAUGCACAUGCUGUGAGCUCGAUGAGUAGGGCGGGACACGUGGUAUCCUGUCUGAAUAUGGGGGGACCAUCCUCCAAGGCUAAAUACUCCUGACUGACCGAUAGUGAACCAGUACCGUGAGGGAAAGGCGAAAAGAACCCCGGCGAGGGGAGUGAAAAAGAACCUGAAACCGUGUACGUACAAGCAGUGGGAGCACGCUUAGGCGUGUGACUGCGUACCUUUUGUAUAAUGGGUCAGCGACUUAUAUUCUGUAGCAAGGUUAACCGAAUAGGGGAGCCGAAGGGAAACCGAGUCUUAACUGGGCGUUAAGUUGCAGGGUAUAGACCCGAAACCCGGUGAUCUAGCCAUGGGCAGGUUGAAGGUUGGGUAACACUAACUGGAGGACCGAACCGACUAAUGUUGAAAAAUUAGCGGAUGACUUGUGGCUGGGGGUGAAAGGCCAAUCAAACCGGGAGAUAGCUGGUUCUCCCCGAAAGCUAUUUAGGUAGCGCCUCGUGAAUUCAUCUCCGGGGGUAGAGCACUGUUUCGGCAAGGGGGUCAUCCCGACUUACCAACCCGAUGCAAACUGCGAAUACCGGAGAAUGUUAUCACGGGAGACACACGGCGGGUGCUAACGUCCGUCGUGAAGAGGGAAACAACCCAGACCGCCAGCUAAGGUCCCAAAGUCAUGGUUAAGUGGGAAACGAUGUGGGAAGGCCCAGACAGCCAGGAUGUUGGCUUAGAAGCAGCCAUCAUUUAAAGAAAGCGUAAUAGCUCACUGGUCGAGUCGGCCUGCGCGGAAGAUGUAACGGGGCUAAACCAUGCACCGAAGCUGCGGCAGCGACGCUUAUGCGUUGUUGGGUAGGGGAGCGUUCUGUAAGCCUGUGAAGGUGUGCUGUGAGGCAUGCUGGAGGUAUCAGAAGUGCGAAUGCUGACAUAAGUAACGAUAAAGCGGGUGAAAAGCCCGCUCGCCGGAAGACCAAGGGUUCCUGUCCAACGUUAAUCGGGGCAGGGUGAGUCGACCCCUAAGGCGAGGCCGAAAGGCGUAGUCGAUGGGAAACAGGUUAAUAUUCCUGUACUUGGUGUUACUGCGAAGGGGGGACGGAGAAGGCUAUGUUGGCCGGGCGACGGUUGUCCCGGUUUAAGCGUGUAGGCUGGUUUUCCAGGCAAAUCCGGAAAAUCAAGGCUGAGGCGUGAUGACGAGGCACUACGGUGCUGAAGCAACAAAUGCCCUGCUUCCAGGAAAAGCCUCUAAGCAUCAGGUAACAUCAAAUCGUACCCCAAACCGACACAGGUGGUCAGGUAGAGAAUACCAAGGCGCUUGAGAGAACUCGGGUGAAGGAACUAGGCAAAAUGGUGCCGUAACUUCGGGAGAAGGCACGCUGAUAUGUAGGUGAAGCGACUUGCUCGUGGAGCUGAAAUCAGUCGAAGAUACCAGCUGGCUGCAACUGUUUAUUAAAAACACAGCACUGUGCAAACACGAAAGUGGACGUAUACGGUGUGACGCCUGCCCGGUGCCGGAAGGUUAAUUGAUGGGGUCAGCGCAAGCGAAGCUCUUGAUCGAAGCCCCGGUAAACGGCGGCCGUAACUAUAACGGUCCUAAGGUAGCGAAAUUCCUUGUCGGGUAAGUUCCGACCUGCACGAAUGGCGUAAUGAUGGCCAGGCUGUCUCCACCCGAGACUCAGUGAAAUUGAACUCGCUGUGAAGAUGCAGUGUACCCGCGGCAAGACGGAAAGACCCCGUGAACCUUUACUAUAGCUUGACACUGAACAUUGAGCCUUGAUGUGUAGGAUAGGUGGGAGGCUUUGAAGUGUGGACGCCAGUCUGCAUGGAGCCGACCUUGAAAUACCACCCUUUAAUGUUUGAUGUUCUAACGUUGACCCGUAAUCCGGGUUGCGGACAGUGUCUGGUGGGUAGUUUGACUGGGGCGGUCUCCUCCUAAAGAGUAACGGAGGAGCACGAAGGUUGGCUAAUCCUGGUCGGACAUCAGGAGGUUAGUGCAAUGGCAUAAGCCAGCUUGACUGCGAGCGUGACGGCGCGAGCAGGUGCGAAAGCAGGUCAUAGUGAUCCGGUGGUUCUGAAUGGAAGGGCCAUCGCUCAACGGAUAAAAGGUACUCCGGGGAUAACAGGCUGAUACCGCCCAAGAGUUCAUAUCGACGGCGGUGUUUGGCACCUCGAUGUCGGCUCAUCACAUCCUGGGGCUGAAGUAGGUCCCAAGGGUAUGGCUGUUCGCCAUUUAAAGUGGUACGCGAGCUGGGUUUAGAACGUCGUGAGACAGUUCGGUCCCUAUCUGCCGUGGGCGCUGGAGAACUGAGGGGGGCUGCUCCUAGUACGAGAGGACCGGAGUGGACGCAUCACUGGUGUUCGGGUUGUCAUGCCAAUGGCACUGCCCGGUAGCUAAAUGCGGAAGAGAUAAGUGCUGAAAGCAUCUAAGCACGAAACUUGCCCCGAGAUGAGUUCUCCCUGACCCUUUAAGGGUCCUGAAGGAACGUUGAAGACGACGACGUUGAUAGGCCGGGUGUGUAAGCGCAGCGAUGCGUUGAGCUAACCGGUACUAAUGAACCGUGAGGCUUAACCUU